AGGAGGUUCCCAGGCUAGGGGUCCAAUCGGAGCUGUAGCUGCCGGUGUCCACUACAGCCACAGCCACGCCGGAUCUGUAACCCACAGGGUGAGGCCAGGGAUUGAACCCGUGUCCUCAUGGAUACUAGUCACGUUCAUUAAUGGCUGAGCCACGACAGGAGCUCCCAAGCCGAACAUUCUUAGAGAAGGGAUUUUGAAGAUGUGAACACACGGCAUUUCCUUGGCAGGCUUUUUUUCCAUCUUUCAGGGCCAGGGCGCCCGGGACAGGCGUUUCCAGGGUCCCCGCCCCCCCGUGACGCCCAUGCCCGCUCGAGAAGAUUCCCAGCGGGCUUUCCUUGGUCAGGAGAUUUCUUUCACAGUUUUUUGUGCUGAAUGAUGAUGUUCCGAGUCAGCCUGAAACGAGCCUGCAGCUCUGUGCCCGAGGAGGCGGCCUGUUCUGGAGAAAGAAACGUGGAACUGAGGCCUGAGCCACGGCCGUCUCAGGGCGGCGUCGGGCGGAUCAGUCGUCCUCUGGGGCUCAGGUUUUCCUGCAGAAAGCGGGGAGCCUGCGGAGGAGGCAGGCUCCAGGGCUGCUCGGUGAACUUCGGGCUGGGCUGGCGUCUCCAGAAGGUCUGGGUCGGGGCUCCCCAUAGCCCACAGCAUCCCCCCCUUCGCUCGACCCACCCACCCUCCGCGAGCCUCACAGGAGCAGGAACCCGGCCUGAUGCACGACCCCAAGGCACCAGCCCCUGGACGUGGUGACCUGCCUGGGGCUGGCGGCGAGGAGGCCCCUGAUGGUCAGUUCACAUGUUCCUCUGGGGAGGUGAUGAUUAAAGCUAAUUUCUCUCUCUCUCUCUCUCUCUCUCUCUUUUUUUUUUUUUUUUUGUCUUUCCAGAACUGCAUCCGUGGCACAUGGAAGUUCCCAGGCUAGGAGUUGAAUCAGAGCUACAGCUGCCGGCCUACACCACAGCCACAGCCACACCAGAUCUGAGCCGUGUCUGUGACCUACACCACAGCUCACGGCAACCCCAGAUCCUUAACCCACUGAGCAAGACCAGGGAUCGAACUUUCGUCCUCAUGGAUGCUAGUCAGAUUCAUUUCCUCUGAGCCACGAGGGAACCUCCUAAAGCUAGUUUCUGGUUGACUUUUCCCCACAGUGAGCAGAACUUGGGCUCAGACUGUAGGGAGAGAGGAGCAGUAGAUGCAACUAAACAUCCUACGAGGUCAGCUGCCUUCACUUUUAUGGUUUGUUUUUCCUCUUUUUUUUCUUGGCCGCGCCCAUGGUGGAUGCAGACGUUCCCAGGCCAGGAAUCGAACCCCUGCCACAGCAGUGACAACAGCAGAUCCCUCACCGCUGAGUCACCAGGAAACUCCCAUGGUUAUUACAAGUAGAUUUUGAUUGCUUUUUCUCUUCCGGGGGGAAGUUGCUUAAAGAGUAAAAAUUUCAGUUUCUUGAUAGCUGUUAAAAGCAUUGAACAUUUCCAAGCAGAGUCAAGUACUUGCCGUGGCAUCGCCCAAAAUAACUAACCAGGGACGUGCUUUCCCUGCUCCUGUCACCUGGCUCAGCUCUGCACCACACAGGUUCUAUGGGCUUGAACAGGCUGUGGUGGAUUUGGUUUAGUAUCCACGAACUAGUACCCAUGAGGAUGCAGGUUCGAUCCCUGGCCUCCCUCAGGGGGUUAAGGAUCCCACGUGGCUGUGGCCGUGGUGCAGGCCAACAGCUACCGCUCUGAUUCAACCCCCAGCCUGGGAGCCUCCAUACGCCUCGGGUGUGGUUCUAAAAAGCAAAAAAGUAAAAUGAAAAAGCGUCUUCUGCUCCUUUGAGUCAGCAGAAUUCCGUCUUGCUUUCCUCUUGAGUCUGUCCUGCUGCCGUGACGCCAGCGCACAGGCAGACCUCGUUUAAUGGCGCUUCUCUUUGUCGCGUUUCACGGACGCGGCGCCUUUUGCAAGUGGAAGGUUUGCAGCCACCCUGCAUUGAUCAAGUCUGUCCGCGCUGUCUUUUCCCACAGCAUCUUCUCACUUGGUGUCUCUGUGUCCCAUUUUGGCGAUCCUCGCACCAUUUCACAUGUUUUCGUCGCUGUCAGGUUGGUUAUAGUGACCUGUGACCUGGGAUCUUUGAUGUCACUGCUGCGACUCAUUGAAGGCUCAGGUGACAGCAAGCAUUCUUUAGCAAUAAAGGGUUUUUUAAUUAAAACGUGUCCAUCUUUUAUAGACGUGGUGCUGUUUUAGUGCACAGUUAAUAGACUACGGUAUGGUGUAAACAUAACUCAUGCACUGGGGAACCCCGAAAUUCAGGUGACUUGCUCUGCUGUGACAGUCACUAUACUGCCGUGAUCUGGAACCGGCCUGCGAUGUCUCCGAGGUCUGCCUGGCCCUGGCUGGAUUGGAAAUUAGAUGUGAGGAGUUCCCUGGUGGCCUAGGAGUUCAGGACUCAGUGUUGUCACUGCUGUGGUUCAGGUUUGACCCUUGGCCUGGGAAUUUCUGCACGCCGUGGGCGCGGCCAGAAAAUCAAAUAAAACAGAACUCACAUCCAUGCUGAACAUCCAAGAGCCUUUAGGCCUAAAGCAACACUGGGGCCAGGGUCCCUUCCUCCCCGUUUCCCUGCUCACCUCUCCAGGUUGUUCACCAGGUGCCGGUCCGACAGGUCCCCGAUCUUGCCGGUGGGGAUAUCAGGGUAGGGGCCUGCCCACCACGCACCACCUCCUCGUCUGCUCUCACGCGCCCCCGGCUCCGUCAGCCAGCAUCCUGCCUGACGCCGUGCGAGCCUGGAAGAUGUUUCAUCCAGACUGAGUGCUUAGGUUUACACGCUUGCUCCGCGAACAAGCACGUGGUCUGCUAUCUCGCCAUCGUGUUCACGGCUCACAACAACCUUAGGACACAGACCCUGUUACUCUUAUUCUUCCCACUUUCCAGGUGAGAAAGCUGAUGCCUAAGAGGUUCCCAUUUUGCCCUGGAUGCACAGCUCGGGCAGAGCCAGGGUUCAGAGGGGGCUCAGCGGCCCGGGGGGCGCACGUGUUCCCCUCCACAGUGAAGCAGUGUUCCCGGUGUUCUGUGAGGUCAGGGGACGGGCAGGGCGUGGAGGGGGCAGCAGCAGUCUUGAGGUGAAGCUGUCUCUGGUGGUGGCAGAGCAGAGACCACAGGAAGCCUGGAAGCAGCCCCCUCUGGACUUUCAAGCUCCGCAGCAAAUAAAUCGCCGUCCUCCUGAAGCCAUUUUGAGCUGCUUUUUGGGCGUUUGCAGUGGAAAGUACUCUUACUGAUGCUCUGGGCAAGCUGGGUCUGGGGUCCUUCGCCCGCUGCUACCACUUCCGCUGGCUAAUUACUUACGGAUGGACUUCUUUCCUGCAGGAACAUGUUAAUGAAGUGUGAACGGCCAUUUAUCUCACGCCGCUGGGAAAUCAGACUGCGUCACUGGAUGAUUAAAAAUGCAUUCCCAUGCUUUUGUUCUCCU
This 3427-nucleotide transfer RNA is filed under the name Sus scrofa (pig). RNAcentral's name for it is "lncRNA (ENSSSCG00000062735.1, ENSSSCG00130006029.1)". Lineage: Eukaryota; Metazoa; Chordata; Mammalia; Artiodactyla; Suidae. The record is from RNAcentral.